UCCAACGGUUAGGAUAAUUGCCU
RNAcentral lists this non-coding RNA (23 nucleotides) under Arabidopsis thaliana (thale cress). The record is from RNAcentral. Lineage: Eukaryota; Viridiplantae; Streptophyta; Magnoliopsida; Brassicales; Brassicaceae.